GACGAACGCUGGCGGCGUGCUUAACACAUGCAAGUCGAACGGAAAGGCCCUGCUUUUGUGGGGUGCUCGAGUGGCGAACGGGUGAGUAACACGUGAGUAACCUGCCCUUGACUUUGGUAUAACUUCAGGAAACUGGGGCUAAUACCGGAUAGGAGCUCCUGCUGCAUGGUGGGGGUUGGAAAGUUUCGGCGGUUGGGGAUGGACUCGCGGCUUAUCAGCUUGUUGGUGGGGUAGUGGCUUACCAAGGCUUUGACGGGUAGCCGGCCUGAGAGGGUGACCGGCGACAUUGGGACUGAGAUACGGCCCAGACUCCUACGGGAGGCAGCAGUGGGGAAUAUUGCACAAUGGGCGGAAGCCUGAUGCAGAAACGCCGCGUGCGGGAUGACGGCCUUCGGGUUGUAAACCGCUUUCGCCUGUGACGAAGCGUGAGUGACGGUAAUGGGUAAAGAAGCACCGGCUAACUACGUG
This 468-nucleotide ribosomal RNA is filed under the name uncultured bacterium. RNAcentral describes it as "partial 16S ribosomal RNA". It matches the Rfam family "Bacterial small subunit ribosomal RNA", at positions 28 to 507 of the family's 1533-position model. The record is from RNAcentral.